AGUGAACGCUGGCGGUAGGCCUAACACAUGCAAGUCGAACGGCAGCACAGGAGAGCUUGCUCUCUGGGUGGCGAGUGGCGGACGGGUGAGGAAUACAUCGGAAUCUACUCUGUCGUGGGGGAUAACGUAGGGAAACUUACGCUAAUACCGCAUACGACCUACGGGUGAAAGCAGGGGACCUUCGGGCCUUGCGCGAUUGAAUGAGCCGAUGUGGGAUUAGGUAGUUGGCGGGGUAAAGGCCCACCAAGGCGACGAUCCGUAGCUGGUCUGAGAGGAUGAUCAGCCACACUGGAACUGAGACACGGUCCAGACUCCUACGGGAGGCAGCAGUGGGGAACAUUGGACAAUGGGCGCAAGCCUGAUCCAGCCAUACCGCGUGGGUGAAGAAGGCCUUCGGGUUGUAAAGCCCUUUUGUUGGGAAAGAAAUCCAGCUGGCUAAUACCCGGUUGGGAUGACGGUACCCAAAGAAUAAGCACCGGCUAACUUCGUGCCAGCCGCCGCCGUAA
Molecule: ribosomal RNA, 506 nt
Filed under: uncultured bacterium
Lineage: Bacteria
Description: partial 16S ribosomal RNA
Rfam family: Bacterial small subunit ribosomal RNA
Source: RNAcentral